GCUUGUUGUACGAACGCCUCGGACGGCGCUAAUUAGUAAGUAUUAUCGUUAGCCAAUAGCGAAAGAUCAGACAUAAUUGCGGUUAUUUAAACGCUUGGCGCGAUAUCGGCCUUGUUAUUCUAUAAGAAUUUCAAGUCUCUGUGAUUGAGCAGCUUAGCUCUUCGCUAUUAAGUCAAAUUCUUCCUCCCUCUCCCCAACCAAUUUUGUAUUAUUAUAGAAAUAUUCUUCGUAAAACAAAUAACUGAAGUAUAAACAAC
Cinara cedri is the source of this 257-nucleotide non-coding RNA. Lineage: Eukaryota; Metazoa; Arthropoda; Insecta; Hemiptera; Aphididae. The record is from the annotation of a GenBank genome assembly.